ACGGCAGUUCACCACAACAUCAGACACAUUAUGGCCUCCGCAGGUCCGGAGGAUUUACCGGAGAACUGGGAGGGUUUAGCGGCCUCAGGAGACACCGGGACACCGGGAAGAAACACCGGCAUUGCAGGAUCCCGUAAAACCACCUUCGUUCAGAUGUCCCACUGACCCCAGGUCAGCACCUCCAGGUCCAGCACCACCGUGACGGCUCUGCUGAAAUACACAAUUAAACAUUUUCUAUGACCUAUUUUUGUAUUAAUACAAUUAAACUGAAGACAGUUUAAUGACCUAGAGAUACCCUUUUAUUCCACUGCUUAUGUACACAUGUUGUAAAUAAUGGUUAAAACCUCAGUAAAUGAAAUAAACAAUGUGUUUAACAA
Molecule: long non-coding RNA, 377 nt
Organism: Gymnodraco acuticeps
Lineage: Eukaryota; Metazoa; Chordata; Actinopteri; Perciformes; Bathydraconidae
Exons: 2
Source: RefSeq, a predicted model, not a curated record